This 513-nucleotide ribosomal RNA is filed under the name uncultured bacterium. RNAcentral describes it as "bacterial SSU rRNA". It matches the Rfam family "Bacterial small subunit ribosomal RNA", at positions 21 to 517 of the family's 1533-position model. The record is from RNAcentral.
GGCUCAGAACGAACGCUGGCGGCGUGGAUAAGACAUGCAAGUCGAACGCUUGUCGUAGGGUAGCAAUAUUCUGCGGCAGGAGUGGCGCAAGGGUGCGUAACACGUGGGUCAUUUGCCGCGAAGUUGGGAACAACUCGUUGAAAGACGAGCUAAUACCUGAUGUGCUCCGCAAGGAGUAAAAGCCGGGGACCGAAAGGCCUGGCGCUUCGCGAUAAGCCCGCGGCCUAUCAGCUAGUUGGCGGGGUAAAAGCCCACCAAGGCUAAGACGGGUAGCUGGUCUGAGAGGACGACCAGCCACACUGGAACUGAGACACGGUCCAGACACCUACGGGUGGCAGCAGUCGAGAAUUUUUCACAAUGGGCGAAAGCCUGAUGGAGCGACGCCGCGUGGGGGAUGAAGGGCUUCGGGCUCGUAAACCCCCUGUCAUUUGCGAACAAAGGCGCCAACCUAACACGUUGUCGUCUGAUAGUAGCAGAAGAGGAAGGGACGGCUAACCUCUGUGCCAGCAGCCG